CUCCGCUUAAGAAAUUAAGCUGAUAUCUUGCAUUUCUAGUGGUUCUCCAGCUAUUUUUGCUUCCAAUAUCUUGCAUUCUUAGCUGUAGAAGAUUAUGGCUUUUGGGAGAGCAAGUUUUAGGAUUUCAUGCUCAUGUUUUUUCUCGCAGAAAUUUUAUUGGGAAGGGAUCUAAAGAAGAGCUUUCCUUCUAGUCAUUACUGAUAGCUUGCAUAUUUUCUCAGUUUCCUGGCUCAAAAGCUUGAAGACAGAAAAUUUCAGGUUGCAGUUUCUGUGUUGUUUAAAGCUUAAAGUGUAGCAGCUCGGGAGAAGAAACCUAACGAAAACCAAGGCUGUGUAUAUCCAUGGAAGUGCCCAUGCCACCCGCAUGCCUCUUCUUUCAAGGUAU
This is a long non-coding RNA of Musa acuminata AAA Group (dessert banana), 385 nucleotides long. RefSeq lists it as uncharacterized. The record is from RefSeq and is a predicted model, not a curated record. Lineage: Eukaryota; Viridiplantae; Streptophyta; Magnoliopsida; Zingiberales; Musaceae. The transcript is spliced from 3 exons.